This 422-nucleotide ribosomal RNA is filed under the name uncultured bacterium. RNAcentral's name for it is "bacterial SSU rRNA". It matches the Rfam family "Bacterial small subunit ribosomal RNA", at positions 354 to 774 of the family's 1533-position model. The record is from RNAcentral.
GUGAGGAAUAUUGGUCAAUGGACGCAAGUCUGAACCAGCCAUGCCGCGUGAAGGAUGACGGUCCUCUGGAUUGUAAACUUCUUUUAUCUGGGACGAAAACGGGAUUUUUAUCUCAAUUGACGGUACCAGAGGAAUAAGCACCGGCUAACUCCGUGCCAGCAGCCGCGGUAAUACGGAGGGUGCGAGCGUUAUCCGGAUUUACUGGGUGUAAAGGGUGCGUAGGUGGGCUUAUAAGUCAGUGGUGAAAUCUCCGAGCUUAACUUGGAAACUGCCGUCGAUACUAUAGGUCUUGAAUUAUCUGGAGGUAAGCUGAAUAUGUCAUGUAGCGGUGAAAUGCUUAGAUAUGACAUAGAACACCAAUUGCGAAGGCAGCUUACUACAUAUAAAUUGACGCUGAGGCACGAAAGCGUGGGGAUCAAACA